UUGAUUGCGAAUCGUUGUCUUCAGUGCUGGCCAGCUCUUGGCAAGUGCACGUUGGCGGCCUUUCAUCCACACCCUGUGCACCUUUGGCCUCUUGCUAGCUUCGGUCGGCAGAGGAUUUUUAUACCUACUCGAAUGUAAUGAAAUUAUUGUCGUGCGCAAGCACUAAUGUA
RNAcentral lists this unclassified non-coding RNA (170 nucleotides) under uncultured Sebacinaceae. RNAcentral describes it as "sequence contains ITS1". The record is from RNAcentral. Lineage: Eukaryota; Fungi; Basidiomycota; Agaricomycetes; Sebacinales; Sebacinaceae.